This 3411-nucleotide long non-coding RNA is filed under the name Fragaria vesca (wild strawberry). RNAcentral describes it as "long non-coding RNA (FVES_LNC004154)". Lineage: Eukaryota; Viridiplantae; Streptophyta; Magnoliopsida; Rosales; Rosaceae. The record is from RNAcentral.
AAGACCUUGACUAAUCAUGGGAGUAUAUGUAGGCCUCACUAGUUAUAGAGCGCCUAAGCCGAUUGAUGGAAAAUCAUCAUCAAUACAGUCAUCGAGUGCCUUAUCGAGACCAUGUCUUCCCAAGAUCUUUUUCUUCGGAUGUUGAUACAUAUUGGCAUCUCUUGAUCCAUCAAGAGUCCAUGUAAAUCCGGAAUGAACACGCAAAGGCAUAAUUCACCAUAUCCCUUCCAAAUCAAGUAGAGUCUAUGUGCGUUUCAAUACAUUUAGCAAACGCAUGCUCUUGUGGUUUGGAGCCACUUGAUUCGGAUGAAUGAAGUCCGUUUAAGAUCUUCAUGUAUAUCUCUGAUCCCAUAGAGAUGUUAUUAUGACCACAUUCAUAGGCUGCUUGUUCAGUUAUUCGGAAAUUACCAAACUGACAAAGUAGUGGAGUUCAAUGGCAUCCAUUACGAGAGCAUAUCUCAUCGUAGUUGAUCCUAGUGCGUGUUAGUGAGAGACCUUGCGCCAUAAGGUGAGUCUAAGCUCUUGUUCUCACUACGCUAUCUAACAAAGGUAUAGUUGAUAGGGUUUAGCUUGCGGUGUCGGCAUCACCUGCCCAAGGACCUAUCUCUUUGUUAAUGCUGGAUCGCAUCUUUCCAUUAGGCCAAUCAACUAAGUUGAUAUCCAUCAAGGAAGAGUGGUUCGAUAGUAGACUCAUUAUCUCACGUCCUCAUGUACACUAGUGUAAUACUUGUAGAGAUCUCUAUAUGAAUUGGAUUUGACAUUGAGGCGUCCCCCAACGAUAAUCACAAUUCAGACUUCAUGAGACGGAUUUGAGUAUCACUGAUCAAUGGAUCAGGUUGUGCCAAGCUCGCUUUCUUUCUAGUGUGAGACAAUAUCGAACCUAAGGGCCUCCCUCCUUUUAGGGAGCCACACGGCCUUGUGACACCAAUUUUGCCACUAUAUGGCGUCACCAUAUCACCAUCCAUGGUGAUGGCGUCAAGACCAACACUUUUUGGUCGCGCCAUGUCCUUUUGUAGGACAUCAAUCCUUGCAGACAUAUUUGCAGCAUGUGAUCUCGUCACUUUAACAUUAUAAGCAUUUGGGAUCAAGAUGAGACUUAGUGGGGACAAACCACGACAAUUCACGUCGUUUCACUUGAACACUUGUGUUCUUAUCUCCCCCUAACGGCGGGAAUAUUGUCUCAUCAAAGUGACAAUCCGCAAUUUAGCGGUCAAUGAGAUCGCCUGACAAGGUUCCUACAUAUGUGGAUUAUAGGUGAAGGUUCAUAUCCAACCUAAACUUAUUCAUCUCAAAAUGACCCAUCAUUGUACGCAAUGGCAAUGCGAUUUGGCACCUAGAAAUAACAUCUAGCGGAGCUCAAGGAUUGGAGAUCCGUUUCAAUCCUGCUGAGCUCAAGGAUUGCAAUUUCGUGUCAAUCCUGGUACACAGUCACGAGCUGUAGUACAACAAAAUUCAAUGAUGGUGGGUCGUAAAUGAAUAGUAAAGCUGCAUGCAAAUAUUGCAUAGCCCUAAGACGCAAUAGAAAGAGUGGUGCGCAUCAAUAAUGUUCGAGCGACAAGCUAAAGUUGUUUGGUCGUAACCUCGGUGAGACCGUAUUGCGUGUGAACAUGGGGUACAUGACACUUCAACUUACAUCCCGAUGAACUUUCUUUAAAGAAUGGGUAGUGAGCCCGUAGAAGUAUAAGCAGCAUAAGCAGUAGAUAAUAGUGUAACACGUGACCAGUGUGCUAACACUUCAACCAACACCAUAAAGCAUAAAAGGUGUCCGCAAGUUGGUUGUAUCUAUCUACAUAAUUUUAUGUAAGAAUAGAAUGUUCACUUUUGUGUUAUUUAGCAUAGGAGGGUCUCACUCCUAAUUUAGCUAAAGAAUAGGCUUUCAAAACGAGCAAUGAGCAUUGCAAGGGGCCAAUGCGACAUCGAGGAAAGGCCGGUGCACCUCAAUUGCUUGAGGAAUUGACCGGACGACCUCCAGGAAGUUNNNNNNNNNNNNNNNNNNNNNNNNNNNNNNNNNNNNNNNNNNNNNNNNNNNNNNNNNNNNNNNNNNCUGAAAACUAGACUCAUAGAGCUUUCCAACGAUAUAAAGCUCACUGUGUGGUUUGUCCGGAGCUGUUCACAAAGCUCAAACGAAGUUGACUGUCUAGGAAGGACAGAUUGCUGUUUUUCGCAGAUUUGGCAUGUGCGAAGCUGUGAAGCUUGCAGGUGGCGUGUAGGCUUUUGCCUUAGCCAAAAGUGACGUGUGUAUGAUCAAAACCAAGUCCUUUCGAUCGUUCUAAGGUCGUAAACUCCAUGACUAGUUAGCAAAAGCUCCCUGACAUGAACAUAAACUAACUCAGAGGACCUAGAGGAUCCGAUUAUGAUGAUAAUUUUCCAGCUUUGAUAAGUCUUCAACGUCUUUUGCAAGACGGCAAUUGGUUUAAUAGCGUAGGGGGAUCCAAAAUCAAAAGCUUUCGGUAACUCCAAGUCAGUAUGACCAGGCAUGUCCGUGGAGGGUCGGUAGUGCGAGGCACACUUAAAACCACUAUCUCCUUAAUUUCGGACAAUUCUAAGGCAUCACACUGAGCUUGGAUGAGCCUAGUUGAACAAUUAAUGAUGAAAAAUCGGCUAUAGGGUAGAAGACUUAACCGGAAACACGUGGGCGAUCCUCCUUGAGGAUGCAGUGCCAUGAGUCACCUUCAAAGGAAGGGACCAAAAUCGGCACAAUAUGCCAUGUUUCUAAGGACGAUGUAAGUGUACAUCUUGAUUGUAAAUCAAUAUGAACCAUAAGAGGAGAAUAGUUUCACUUUGAAAAAUUCUCAAGGCAUUCAUUAUUGCUAAUGUGAGUACAUCGAGGUCUCAAAUAGACAAAGGACGUCGAUACAACGCCUUCGUACAUAUAACUUGGAACGAAAAUCAAUGUCUAGCCGAUGACAUCAAAGUCAUGGGUAGCUAGAGCAGGAUCCGAAUCUUUGAAAUUCGCGAUCAUGAGGAUGACGUUCUUGUCCUCAUAUUGAUUUUCCAUACCUUUUUGUAUGCAUUCACAAUUUAAAAGAGCUUGACAAUCUUGAACCAGUGAUCCGAAGAUCCAUAACGGUUGCAUUAAUGUCAUGAGCUGACGUGAGUAGUUUUGACAAAAUGGUGUCUAGACUAGGAGUGUCGCUAUUAGAGCCGGCAACACCUCCCCCUCUUUUCUAGACAUCGGCACGACGUUUUCUGCCGUUGCUAUGACCCAUAUUGUUGUCCCCACAUUAGGGGAUAAUCCCAAAUAAGUUUAUCACAUUAGCGUAUAUACAAUUCUUGUUUGUAUGAUCAAAAUCAAGUCUCGUUGGUAAUUCCACACCAACUUGGAGGACUUAGAGAACUUGAUGAUGAUCGAAUCCGCUAAAGAUUAUGGAUCAUGAUGCCACAAAAGAUCAUCGACAAUAUGUAGUCAAU